GAUGAACGCUAGCGGCGUGCCUAACACAUGCAAGUCGAACGGAGUCCAGCCUUUAAGACCUUCGGGUCAAAGAGGGGAAGACUGAGGCGGACGGGUGAGUAACACGUGGGCAACCUGGCUCAUAGAGGGGGAUAACAGAGAGAAAUUUCUGCUAAUACCGCAUAAGCACACACUGCCGCAUGGCAGAGGGUGAAAAGAGAAUCGCUAUGAGAUGGACCCGCGUCUGAUUAGCCAGUUGGCAGGGUAAGAGCCUACCAAAGCGACGAUCAGUAGCCGAUCUGAGAGGAUGAACGGCCACAUUGGGACUGAGACACGGCCCAAACUCCUACGGGAGGCAGCAGUGGGGGAUAUUGCACAAUGGGGGGAACCCUGAUGCAGCGACGCCGCGUGAGUGAAGAAGUAUUUCGGUAUGUAAAGCUCUAUCAGCAGGGAAGAUAAUGACAGUACCUGAAUAAGAAGCCCCGGCUAACUACGU
RNAcentral lists this ribosomal RNA (475 nucleotides) under uncultured bacterium. RNAcentral's name for it is "partial 16S ribosomal RNA". It matches the Rfam family "Bacterial small subunit ribosomal RNA", at positions 28 to 506 of the family's 1533-position model. The record is from RNAcentral.